AUUGAACGCUGGCGGCAGGCCUAACACAUGCAAGUCGAGCGGAUGAAGGGAGCUUGCUCCUGGAUUCAGCGGCGGACGGGUGAGUAAUGCCUAGGAAUCUGCCUGGUAGUGGGGGAUAACGUCCGGAAACGGGCGCUAAUACCGCAUACGUCCUGAGGGAGAAAGUGGGGGAUCUUCGGACCUCACGCUAUCAGAUGAGCCUAGGUCGGAUUAGCUAGUUGGUGGGGUAAAGGCCUACCAAGGCGACGAUCCGUAACUGGUCUGAGAGGAUGAUCAGUCACACUGGAACUGAGACACGGUCCAGACUCCUACGGGAGGCAGCAGUGGGGAAUUUUGGACAAUGGGCGAAAGCCUGAUCCAGCCACGCCGCGUGUGUGAAGAAGGUCUUCGGAUUGUAAAGCACUUUAAGUUGGGAGGAAGGGCAGUAAGUUAAUACCUUGCUGUUUUGACGUUACCAACAGAAUAAGCACCGGCUAACUUCGUG
This 484-nucleotide ribosomal RNA is filed under the name uncultured bacterium. Its description in RNAcentral is "partial 16S ribosomal RNA". It matches the Rfam family "Bacterial small subunit ribosomal RNA", at positions 30 to 507 of the family's 1533-position model. The record is from RNAcentral.